This 800-nucleotide ribosomal RNA is filed under the name uncultured bacterium. RNAcentral describes it as "bacterial SSU rRNA". It matches the Rfam family "Bacterial small subunit ribosomal RNA", at positions 8 to 795 of the family's 1533-position model. The record is from RNAcentral.
AGAGUUUGAUCCUGGCUCAGAGUGAACGCUGGCGGUAGGCCUAACACAUGCAAGUCGAACGGCAUCACAGGAGAGCUUGCUCUCUGGGUGGCGAGUGGCGGACGGGUGAGGAAUGCAUCGGAAUCUACUCUUUCGUGGGGGAUAACGUAGGGAAACUUACGCUAAUACCGCAUACGACCUACGGGUGAAAGCCGGGGACCUUCGGGCCUGGCGCGAAUGAAUGAGCCGAUGCCCGAUUAGCUAGUUGGCGGGGUAAGAGCCCACCAAGGCGACGAUCGGUAGCUGGUCUGAGAGGAUGAUCAGCCACACUGGAACUGAGACACGGUCCAGACUCCUACGGGAGGCAGCAGUGGGGAAUAUUGGACAAUGGGCGCAAGCCUGAUCCAGCCAUACCGCGUGGGUGAAGAAGGCCUUCGGGUUGUAAAGCCCUUUUGUUGGGAAAGAAAAGCAGCCGGUUAAUACCCGGUUGUUCUGACGGUACCCAAAGAAUAAGCACCGGCUAACUUCGUGCCAGCAGCCGCGGUAAUACGAAGGGUGCAAGCGUUACUCGGAAUUACUGGGCGUAAAGCGUGCGUAGGUGGUUGUUUAAGUCUGUCGUGAAAGCCCCUGGGCUCAACCUGGGAAUUGCGAUGGAAACUGGGCGACUAGAGUGUGGCAGAGGAUAGUGGAAUUCCUGGUGUAGCAGUGAAAUGCGUAGAGAUCAGGAGGAACAUCCGUGGCGAAGGCGACUGUCUGGGCCAACACUGACACUGAGGCACGAAAGCGUGGGGGAGCAAACAGGAUUAGAUACCCUGGUAGUC